GCGCCCUGCGGGAGCAGCUGGAGCAGGCGCACCGGGAGAGGACCGGGCGGCUGCGGGCUCUCGGAGCCAGGAACACCCAGAACUUCCAGCAGCUACUGUGGCCCCCUGGCGCUGAGGAGCCUGGAGAGUAUCGCUCACCAUUCCCAGACUCCUCUAGUCACUGCUGAAUCCUCAAAGGGAUGAUUAAGAGAUGGGGGGUUAAGGAAAAAGCAAGAGGUCAGAGAGUUUCAGAACGGCCCAGAAAGCAGCCUCAGCGCCUGGGAGAGCCAGACAGACACACACGACAGCCUUGCCCCACCAAGAGGUGUGUUAUUUCUUUUUAUCCCCCCUCAGCCCACUACCUGGCCUAGGGUCAGAGGGCCAGGUCCUGGGGGUCAAGCAGUGCGAAGGCCCCAUUCUUGCGGAAGAAAGAUUCAAUGCGGCACAUCUUGCAGGAGACCAGUUCUUGCUUCACUGGGGGGCCUGGGAAAAGAUGUCAGAGACCAGGAAUGGGUUCCUGGGAAAGGAACUUGCAGAACAUGGGAGCCCUGCCUGCAUAACCCUAGGAAUCUGCCUGUGUUGUAUCCACUUUGUAAGUGUGAAUAAAUAAAAAGAAGUGCUUCUGAG
Molecule: non-coding RNA, 606 nt
Organism: Vicugna pacos (alpaca)
Lineage: Eukaryota; Metazoa; Chordata; Mammalia; Artiodactyla; Camelidae
Source: RefSeq, a predicted model, not a curated record